GGAAAGAACACCUGGGAGCCAGAGACACAAGAAAAGUUUAUCCCUAACCACAGGGGAACAUUUGACUCACGAUGCACCUGCCUCUUUGACAACAGCUGGAGGAUGUUAUAUAUUGGUCAAAAUUCAUGGACUGUAUACAAAAAGAAGAAUUUUACUAUGAGUUAUUCCUAUCUAAAGGGACAGGAAAAGGACAUCUUUGGGGGAAUAUUGCUGUUACAAUUGGGUAUGAGUAACUCAGGUCCACCUUCCCUUUACGAUUCGUCUACACAUAAUGUAUGUACUGUUCUGAUCCUUCAUGUCAU
Molecule: non-coding RNA, 302 nt
Organism: Ictidomys tridecemlineatus (thirteen-lined ground squirrel)
Lineage: Eukaryota; Metazoa; Chordata; Mammalia; Rodentia; Sciuridae
Source: RefSeq, a predicted model, not a curated record